This 802-nucleotide ribosomal RNA is filed under the name uncultured bacterium. Its description in RNAcentral is "bacterial SSU rRNA". It matches the Rfam family "Bacterial small subunit ribosomal RNA", at positions 59 to 868 of the family's 1533-position model. The record is from RNAcentral.
CAGUCGAGCGAUGAAACUUUGACAGAUCCCUUCGGGGUGAAGAUAAAGUGGAUUAGCGGCGGACGGGUGAGUAACACGUGAGUAACCUGCCUCGGACAUUGGGAUAGCCUCGGGAAACCGGGAUUAAUACCAAAUGAAAUCAAAAGUGCACAUGCACCAAUGAUCAAAACUCCGGUGGUCUGAGAUGGACUCACGUCCCAUUAGCUAGUUGGUAGGGUAACGGCCUACCAAGGCGACGAUGGGUAGCCGGCCUGAGAGGGUGAACGGCCACAUUGGAACUGAGAAACGGUCCAAACUCCUACGGGAGGCAGCAGUGGGGAAUAUUGCACAAUGGAGGGAACUCUGAUGCAGCGACGCCGCGUGAACGAAGAAGGCUUUCGAGUCGUAAAGUUCUUUUAUAUGGGAAGAUAAUGACGGUACCAUAAGAAAAAGCCCCGGCUAACUACGUGCCAGCAGCCGCGGUAAUACGUAGGGGGCUAGCGUUGUCCGGAAUCACUGGGCGUAAAGGGUUCGCAGGCGGAAAUGCAAGUCAGAUGUAAAAGGCAGUAGCUUAACUACUGUAAGCAUUUGAAACUGCAUAUCUUGAGAAGAGUAGAGGUAAGUGGAAUUUUUAGUGUAGCGGUGAAAUGCGUAGAUACUAAAAAGAAUACCGGUGGCGAAGGCGACUUACUGGGCUCAUUCUGACGCUGAGGAACGAAAGCGUGGGUAGCAAACAGGAUUAGAUACCCUGGUAGUCCACGCUGUAAACGAUGAGUGCUAGGUAUCGGAAGAAUUCGGUGCCGCAGUUAACACAUUAAGCACU